AGCAACCAAAUAAGCUUUUAAAAAUAUAUGCAAGCUUUGUUACCAAUUACCAUAUCAAAUACCGAGCUGAAGGAUGACCCACCAUUCUAUUCAGGUGAGCAUCACCUUGAUUGCAACAGGUUUCAAACGCCAGGAAGAAAUUGAUAGCCGCAUAUCCCAGGGAGCACAGCUGGGUGGUCCUGACAACCUCGGCGCCGGUAGACGCACCAGCUCUUCUCUCGCCGAAGGAACCACAUUCGAGAUUCCAGAGUUUCUAAAAAAGAAAGGGAGAUUACGCUAUCCAAGAGCUUGAUAAAUUUCGAUCAGUAGCUACCAUUCAGUUUUAUUUCUUUUAUGUUUUUAUACGUCACCAGCUGGUUCUGUGCAUAUUCAUUAUUCGUUGUUCUGUUCUUUCCUCCUUUUUUCUAUUUGGAUUUGAACUAGUAAAACUGUGAAAGCUCUGGGUAAUGAUGCUUGUGUUUUGACUUCCAUAUUGUUUAGUUUGAUUGGACAAAGGAACCAAUGUAAAAAAUAGAUUUGUUUUUUUCAUUUUGCUGAAAAUGACUAGUUAGCUUUACA
Dendrobium catenatum is the source of this 558-nucleotide long non-coding RNA. RefSeq lists it as uncharacterized. The transcript has 2 exons. Lineage: Eukaryota; Viridiplantae; Streptophyta; Magnoliopsida; Asparagales; Orchidaceae. The record is from RefSeq and is a predicted model, not a curated record.